Molecule: ribosomal RNA, 433 nt
Filed under: uncultured bacterium
Lineage: Bacteria
Description: partial 16S ribosomal RNA
Rfam family: Bacterial small subunit ribosomal RNA
Source: RNAcentral
AGCGAACGCUGGCGGCAGGCUUAACACAUGCAAGUCGAGCGGACCUUUCGGGGUCAGCGGCGGACGGGUGAGUAACGCGUGGGAACGUGCCUUCCGGUUCGGAAUAACCCUGGGAAACUAGGGCUAAUACCGGAUACGCCCUUAGGGGGAAAGGUUUACUGCCGUAAGAUCGGCCCGCGUCUGAUUAGCUAGUUGGUGGGGUAACGGCCUACCAAGGCGACGAUCAGUAGCUGGUCUGAGAGGAUGAUCAGCCACACUGGGACUGAGACACGGCCCAGACUCCUACGGGAGGCAGCAGUGGGGAAUAUUGGACAAUGGGCGAAAGCCUGAUCCAGCCAUGCCGCGUGAGUGAUGAAGGCCUUAGGGUUGUAAAGCUCUUUUAUCCGGGACGAUAAUGACGGUACCGGAGGAAUAAGCCCCGGCUAACUUCGUG